RNAcentral lists this ribosomal RNA (796 nucleotides) under uncultured Bacteroidota bacterium. RNAcentral describes it as "bacterial SSU rRNA". It matches the Rfam family "Bacterial small subunit ribosomal RNA", at positions 78 to 880 of the family's 1533-position model. The record is from RNAcentral. Lineage: Bacteria; Pseudomonadati; Bacteroidota.
CUUCGGGUAACCAAAACCGGCGCACGGGUGCGUAACGCGUAUACAAUCUGCCUUUCACAUAGGGAUAGCCCGAAGAAAUUUGGAUUAAUACCUAAUGGUAUAUAGGAGCGGCAUCGUUUUUAUAUUAAAGCUACGGUGGUGAAAGAUGAGUAUGCGUUCUAUUAGCUAGUUGGAGAGGUAUCGGCUCCCCAAGGCGACGAUAGAUAGGGGUUCUGAGAGGGAUGUCCCCCACACUGGUACUGAGAUACGGACCAGACUCCUACGGGAGGCAGCUGUGAGGAAUAUUGGACAAUGGUCGGAAGACUGAUCCAGCCAUGCCGCGUGCAGGAUGAAGGUCCUAUGGAUUGUAAACUGCUUUUGUAAGGGAAGAAUAAGGAGUACGUGUACUUUGAUGACGGUACCUACGAAUAAGCAUCGGCUAACUCCGUGCCAGCAGCCGCGGUAAUACGGAGGAUGCGUGCGUUAUCCGGAAUCAUUGGGUUUAAAGGGUCCGUAGGCGGGCUGAUAAGUCAGAGGUGAAAGCGCUUAGCUCAACUAAGCAACUGCCUUUGAAACUGUCAGUCUUGAAUGAUUGUGAAGUAGUUGGAAUGUGUAGUGUAGCGGUGAAAUGCUUAGAUAUUACACGGAACACCGAUAGCGAAGGCAUAUUACUAACAAUUUAUUGACGCUGAUGGACGAAAGCGUGGGGAGCGAACAGGAUUAGAUACCCUGGUAGUCCACGCUGUAAACGAUGGAUACUAGCUGUUUGGAGCAAUCUGAGUGGCUAAGCGAAAGUGAUAAGUAUCCCACUGGGGAG